Molecule: transfer RNA, 82 nt
Filed under: Spirochaetaceae bacterium
Lineage: Bacteria; Pseudomonadati; Spirochaetota; Spirochaetia; Spirochaetales; Spirochaetaceae
Description: tRNA-Leu
Rfam family: tRNA
About the family: Transfer RNA (tRNA) molecules are approximately 80 nucleotides in length. Their secondary structure includes four short double-helical elements and three loops (D, anti-codon, and T loops).
Source: RNAcentral
GCGAGAGUGGUGAAAUUGGUAGACACGCCAGACUUAGGAUCUGGUACCGCAAGGCUUGAGGGUUCAAAUCCCUCCUCUCGCA